CAGUCGCCGCGGUAAUACAGAGGGUGCGAGCGUUAAUCGGAUUUACUGGGCGUAAAGCGUGCGUAGGCGGCUUCUUAAGUCGGAUGUGAAAUCCCUGAGCUUAACUUAGGAAUUGCAUUCGAUACUGGGAAGCUAGAGUAUGGGAGAGGAUGGUAGAAUUCCAGGUGUAGCGGUGAAAUGCGUAGAGAUCUGGAGGAAUACCGAUGGCGAAGGCAGCCAUCUGGCCUAAUAAUGACGCUGAGGUACGAAAGCAUGGGGAGCAAACAGGAUUAGAUACCCGGGUAGUCCCUGUCUCUUAUAC
RNAcentral lists this ribosomal RNA (301 nucleotides) under uncultured bacterium. RNAcentral's name for it is "partial 16S ribosomal RNA". It matches the Rfam family "Bacterial small subunit ribosomal RNA", at positions 509 to 807 of the family's 1533-position model. The record is from RNAcentral.